This is a long non-coding RNA of Felis catus (domestic cat), 3065 nucleotides long. RefSeq lists it as uncharacterized. The transcript is spliced from 2 exons. The record is from RefSeq and is a predicted model, not a curated record. Lineage: Eukaryota; Metazoa; Chordata; Mammalia; Carnivora; Felidae.
GGCCCAAAGCGGGGCUCGAACUCACGACACCACGAGAUCAUGACCUGAGCUGAAACCAAGAGUUGGAGCCACCCAGGUGCCCCCAAAUUUGUGUUGUUUGAAGCUGCUAGGUUUGUGGUCAUUCGUCGUAGCAGGCCUGGGCAACUAGCACGGGACCUCAAAUGUCUUCUGCUCCAACCCACUCCUUGAAUGACAAGAAAGGAAACCAAGGUAGUUACGAGGCAGGUGCCACAUCAAACACACAAACAGGAAGCAUGCUGACAGCUGAGAAGUCCUAGGUCCUAGCAGGGCUUCAGCAAGAAACUCCCAGGCUGAGGGAACAGAACCAUCUAGAACAGAGCCUCUCUCUCAACUCCCAGAACAAGAGUGGUUUACCCGAGGCACCUCCUUUUGUCAAUUACGCCAAAGCCCCACAAGAAAAGAAAGAAGGGGGGUGGGGCGGGGAUGCAGUUAAGUGCCGUGCAUAGCUGCCCCAGGCUCGCAGAAGGUUCUAGAAGGCACUCAUCAUGAGGGGCUCUGCACACAGCAAGCAGGCAGGACGCAACUCCAUUUAGCCACAAAGGAUCUCGAGGUGCUGACCUGCGGGCCAGGCGCUAGGCAGGUCCUGAGACAGGAAAACAAAGGAGCUAGAGCGGGAGCCCUCUCGGUCACUUGCAGCCGGGAACAAACAUAACAAAAUGUACGGGAGAAACAUAAAAGAUGGCAGGUCCAAAGGCGCAGAUGCAAGGAUAAGCACCAUUUUGUGGUUUUCCCACUUCAUUUUCAGUCCCAGAAAUCACAUCACGACGGGAAAAAUUCCAAACGUUUAAAAAAAAAAAAAAAUUUGUUUUUAAUUCUAAGCGGGCUCCAUGCCCAGCAUGGGGCUUGAACUCAUGACCCUGAGAUCAAGAGUCACAUGCUCCACCGACUGAGCCAGCCGGGAGCCCCUAAAUCUUUUUCUUCGUAGUCGUCUGAAUGUCUUCCGCCUCAAAGACGCAGAUUAAGUGUGCUUAUUUUAAUAUUUAUUUAGGAGAUAAGUGAUACGUGUAUGUUACAAAGAGAGAAAUCACAUCAGUCUACAGGUAGACUUGCUUCUCAUACCCAGAAAUGGAAGCAGCAAUUUGGAACCGGCGCCUCGAUGGAAAAGCAUGUAAGUCACCCUCGAGUUGGGCCGCCCUUUAAAGAACGCUGCCCUGAGCGUCGACGCCACUCGAGAUAUUUCCACGGUCGUGCUCUGUCUCGCCCGUACACCGUUGUGAAGGGUGACCGCGGCAUAACCCUCGAUCCACUCAACCAGACAGGCGCACACCACGCAUCUCAAGGGGCCACGACCUGUCGCCUGGGUUGUGAGGCGUGUCCCCCUGCCUCAGGGUCCUCUGUGUCCCGACAGGACUCAGAACACCUGACGUGAGCUCCAAGGGAAGGUCUCCCUGUCUGUCCGUUUAUAAACGUAGCCAAGUUAAUCUCCUUUUUGGGCAAAUGGAAAUAUAAACGGGGUCUCCAACUUUCUCUCCUGUCCCCACUGCCCCGGCUGAACCCCCUCUUGCUGGGGGAGAGUUAGCAGCCUCCCAUCCUGGGAUACUCUGGAGGAAGGAGGCAGGCAGGUGGCUGUACCGUGGGACCUCCGGGAAACAGACGCUGCUCGGCACAGUCCCGAGGGGAGGCGCGGACACACCCAGUCUCCCCUCGAUGUUCUUCGGAGCCAGAAGCCCGUCCGUGAGUCAGGGCGCUUCCCGCGAUCCCCCGCUUAGCCGCGUGGCUCUGCGGCCCCUCCCCUCCAGAGGCGGACUGCACGUCACUAGUCGUCCCCGCCGGGCGGGCCUCGUGAAACCCCUGACCAGUGCGGUGGAGCAGGAAGGACGUGGGACGUCCGAGGUGAGGCAGGUCCUCCUUUACACUCUUGGCACGUGCUCCCCGUCGCUUGAAGACGCCCAGGAUGAGAGGCUGAGCCAGGUGAGAGCAGCUGAAGGAUCACCAGUGCACGCAGGAGUCCUGAGGAGCGACGCGGCAGCGCUGUCGUAGGCCUCGGUGGCCCGAGGUAGUUUCUUACGCAGCAACACUCACCGAUGCAUCAGUGAGGCCCUCCGGUUCCUCGUCAGGGCACCUGUUUCCUGAUCGAGAAGGUGAGUUUGAAUUCCAUGGUCUCCAGGCCCCGAACGCUCCAGAGCCACGUUAGUGAACAGAGCCGUGGCAAAGAUGCCAGGUCAGAGGGAGCAGGACUCAGGAGCACACGACGCCUCCCCGUGGCCACAGUCCGCCCCGCUUCGGGGACGCUGACGAGGAGGGCGGCCAGUCCACUCCAGCCGCACUCCCGGAGCAUGGGGCGCGGUGCCGGGGACAGGUGAGCUCGGCCACCGAGGGCACGGCCCUCCAGACCUGUGGUCACGCCCCGCUCCACUAUCCCUGCCGCCUGCCCUUCCUCAAAAGGCCCCCGGCCACCCCAAGCCUGUGUCCUCCUCUGCCGACCACAGACGGGUGUAGCCACCCCCGGGAGCCGCUGCGAGGAGCAGACGCCGUACGCGGAGCGCCUGGUGCCCAGGAGGCACCAAACGUGGGGGCUGCAGCCUGCGCACUUGAGCUCAGAGGUGCGUGGCUGCGACCACCCCCACCAGGGAGGAGGAGGGGGUGACAGCUGGGCCGGCACUAGUCAGGGGGCUUUGAUCAUGCCUACGACUUGAACGGGUAGCGCGUUUAGGGGCAGAAGCGCUCGAUGCCGACCGUACGCGGUUCCCAGAGCCGAGACAGAAGGGGACGUUGGAGGGUAACUCCCCCUUGUUCAUCUGGACGAGCGCAAACAUCGUAGUAAGUCGUCAGUGCGGGCCGCACAUUCCUUGGGCCAUAAACCAAUGACCGUGGGCUCCCCGUAGAAGCAAAAGGGUACUUUUAAAAGCAGCAGCCCUGAGUCACUGGUACCUCCCAGUGGUUGGGUCAUUCUAUUUUUCCCUCGUCCUUCUCUAAACUCUUAACUUCCCCAUUGUGGAAUAUCAUUGGCUUGACCUCUGACUUCAGGCUUAUUUGCAGAGGCGGUUAGACUUUCUGUUCUGAAAAGGCUCUUUCUCCGAAAUAAAUAUUUAAUUACCCUUUGA